RNAcentral lists this long non-coding RNA (845 nucleotides) under Daucus carota (carrot). Its description in RNAcentral is "long non-coding RNA (DCAR_LNC006953)". The record is from RNAcentral. Lineage: Eukaryota; Viridiplantae; Streptophyta; Magnoliopsida; Apiales; Apiaceae.
AGGGUACUAGUUACCUUGUUACUUUCACAGCCUCCUUGCGUGAUGAGAGCAAGAAUGUUGAGACCUUCGAAACACAUAUAUGUGUGCCUAGCCUCUUCCCAACUAUGAUCUUGAAAGUAAGGGAUAUCAGUCGCAGGUAAUUCCAACCGCAUCUCCCGUUAUUUUAAUUUCAUGCGCUCCUCAGUUUUUCCUCACACCUCUCUUCCUUCUUUUCUCGACUUUAAAUUUCUUAUUUUUUUAUAGUGAUAAUUGCUCCCUCCUGCUCAUAUUAUUAACUGGAAAUAAAUUAGAAGAUACAGUUUCAUCAAGGUAUUUUACUUAAUUUUGGGAGGACGACAUGGGAAACAUCAAUAUUUGUGGGAUUUCGAUUAACCAUUGAUCCAAACAAAGUGUCUAAUCUAACUAUCAGUCUUCUCCACUCACCACUCUUAUUGUUUUAUUCGUGUCACGUGGACUUAAGGUUGAAUUUUUUUACAUACAUGUGAGUUUGUUGUGGGGACUUGUGACUAUGCCUGUGAAUAUUAGCUCUGUUUUGACAAAAAAACCAUGGGAACAUGGCAUGCCCAACCCCCCCCCCCCACACGCACACACGCAUAUUUAUCUAUUUAUUUAUUUAUUUAUUUAUUUGUGUUAUCAUUAUGUUGUUGACUGUGGAAACAGAACCUCUGUGCAUUUCUUGGUUAAUUGAGGAUAAACAGUUCUGUGAUGAAUAUGAUUCGUUAGGUGUGGAAAAUGGUUAGAUAUUUCUAUUAGGGCAAUUUAAUUACACUGUGUGGCUAUGAGUCCAUAUUUCAUGUUUCGUUCACGGAGACAUGAUUUCAUGCUUUUAUGCCUUCGGUGUCAUG